RNAcentral lists this ribosomal RNA (492 nucleotides) under uncultured bacterium. RNAcentral's name for it is "partial 16S ribosomal RNA". It matches the Rfam family "Bacterial small subunit ribosomal RNA", at positions 29 to 507 of the family's 1533-position model. The record is from RNAcentral.
AGUGAACGCUGGCGGUAGGCCUAACGCAUGCAAGUCGAACGGCAGCACAGUAAGAGCUUGCUCUUACGGGUGGCGAGUGGCGGACGGGUGAGGAAUACAUCGGAAUCUACUUUUUCGUGGGGGAUAACGUAGGGAAACUUACGCUAAUACCGCAUACGACCUACGGGUGAAAGCAGGGGAUCUUCGGACCUUGCGCGAUUGAAUGAGCCGAUGUCGGAUUAGCUAGUUGGCGGGGUAAAGGCCCACCAAGGCGACGAUCCGUAGCUGGUCUGAGAGGAUGAUCAGCCACACUGGAACUGAGACACGGUCCAGACUCCUACGGGAGGCAGCAGUGGGGAGUAUUGGACAAUGGGCGCAAGCCUGAUCCAGCCAUACCGCGUGGGUGAAGAAGGCCUUCGGGUUGUAAAGCCCUUUUGUUGGGAAAGAAAAGCAGCAGGUUAAUACCCCGCUGUUCUGACGGUACCCAAAGAAUAAGCACCGGCUAACUUCGUG